CUACGGGUUGCAGCAGUGGGGAAUAUUGGACAAUGGGGGAAACCCUGAUCCAGCAAUGCCGCGUGUGUGAAGAAGGCCUGCGGGUUGUAAAGCACUUUCGGUUGGGAGGACUGCUUCUAGCACUAAUAUUGUUGGAAGUUGACGUUACCUUCAGAAGAAGCACCGGCUAACUCCGUGCCAGCAGGCCGCGGUAAUACGGAGGGUGCAAGCGUUAAUCGGAAUUACUGGGCGUAAAGCGCGCGUAGGCGGCUAGAUCAGUCGGGUGUGAAAGCCCCGGGCUUAACCUGGGAACUGCAUCCGAUACUGUCUAGCUUGAGUACAGGAGAGGAGAGUGGAAUUCCACAUGUAGCGGUGAAAUGCGUAGAUAUGUGGAGGAACACCAAUGGCGAAGGCAGCUCUCUGGCCUGAUACUGGCGCUGAGGUGCGAAAGCGUGGGGAGCAAACAGGAUUAGAUACCCGAGUAGUC
RNAcentral lists this ribosomal RNA (466 nucleotides) under uncultured bacterium. Its description in RNAcentral is "partial 16S ribosomal RNA". It matches the Rfam family "Bacterial small subunit ribosomal RNA", at positions 339 to 795 of the family's 1533-position model. The record is from RNAcentral.